RNAcentral lists this ribosomal RNA (454 nucleotides) under uncultured Fibrobacter sp. Its description in RNAcentral is "partial 16S ribosomal RNA". It matches the Rfam family "Bacterial small subunit ribosomal RNA", at positions 341 to 792 of the family's 1533-position model. The record is from RNAcentral. Lineage: Bacteria; Pseudomonadati; Fibrobacterota; Fibrobacteria; Fibrobacterales; Fibrobacteraceae.
ACGGGAGGCAGCAGUGAGGAAUAUUGGUCAAUGGACGAGAGUCUGAACCAGCCAAGUAGCGUGCAGGAUGACGGCCCUAUGGGUUGUAAACUGCUUUUGUACGGGAAUAAAGUGACCUACGUGUAGGUUUUUGCAUGUACCGUAAGAAUAAGGACCGGCUAAUUCCGUGCCAGCAGCCGCGGUAAUACGAGGGGUGCAAGCGUUGUUCGGAAUCACUGGGCGUAAAGGGAGCGCAGGCGGAGAUGCAAGCAGUCUGUACAAUACCGGGGCCCAACCCCGGACCUGCAGACUGGACUGUUUCUCUUGGAUAGUUCAGGGGCAAGCGGAAUUCCUGGUGUAGCGGUGGAAUGCGUAGAGAUCAGGAAGAACACCGAUGGCGAAGGCAGCUUGCUGGGGACUUAUCGACGCUCAUGCUCGAAAGUGCGGGUAGCAAACAGGAUUAGAUACCCUGGUA